AAGCAGUGGAAUCAACUAGAGAGGGAGUUAAAGGCAUAUGGGGAAGGGGAGGAGAAGAUAUGAGAGGCUAAGAAGAGAAAGUUCAGAAGUUGAUGAAGAACAGAAUCAUAUCAAGAAUUCAGCCAUAACAUUGGGAGGAGAGAAAGGAAGAAGAAGAAGCAAUCAAGGUGUGGAGCUAUGGAAGAAAAUGGAAGGCAGCAGCCCUAAAUUAGGGCAUCCCUUCAAGACCUUCAUAGCUACUUAUGAAGCAAUCAUGCUUUACUUUGCACACAAGCUUGUGAUGCCUCAACAAUGGUGAUCUUCUACACUUUUGUGUUCAAUUUCAACGCCUUUAAUACGCUUCAUUCAUAUAUCUCCCUCUUCUUGGUUUUCUGGUCGUGGAUAUGUUGAUAAAAUAUAAUGGAAUAGAAUAUCUUUACUGUUUAACAUUA
This is a non-coding RNA of Cucurbita pepo subsp. pepo (vegetable marrow), 431 nucleotides long. The record is from RefSeq and is a predicted model, not a curated record. NCBI's taxonomy places the organism in Eukaryota, Viridiplantae, Streptophyta, Magnoliopsida, Cucurbitales, Cucurbitaceae.